UAAUUAAGCAGAGGAAAAGAAACUAACCAGGAUUGACUUAGUAAGGGCGACUGAAGGGUCAACAGCUCACCAUGUGAAUCUGCACCUUUAAGGUGCCGAAUUGUGGUCUGGAGACUAUUGCAAUCUAGGGCCAGGUCAAGUUCCUUGGAACGGGGCAGCUCAGAGGGUGACACUCCCAUAUGCCUGGCCUUGAGAGCAAUUGUCAUGGAGUCGAGUUGUUUGGGAUUGCAGCUCCAAGUGGGUGGUAAAUUCCAUCGAAAGCUAAAUACUGGUGGAAAACCGAUAGCGAACAAGUACCGUGAGGGAAAGAUGCAAAGAACUUUGAAAAGAGAGUUAAAGAGUACCUGAAAUUGCUGAAAAAGAAGCAAAGGAAACCAGUGUUGGUUGUGCCAUAUUUCCCUGCUCGCUUGCGGUUGGGGCGCUGUGGCCAGCGUAGUCUUCUUUGAUUGACUUGGGUGGAUGCAUGUCAAAGUUAGUUGUGCUUUGCUUGUUGCGUCCGAGUUGAUUGAUUGAGACAAAAUGGUUUUCUUUUCCCCGUCUUG
Molecule: ribosomal RNA, 542 nt
Filed under: Pinnularia acuminata
Lineage: Eukaryota; Bacillariophyta; Bacillariophyceae; Sellaphorales; Pinnulariaceae
Description: eukaryotic LSU rRNA
Rfam family: Eukaryotic large subunit ribosomal RNA
Source: RNAcentral